GGAAGUAAAAGUCGCAACAAGGUUUCCGUAGGUGAACCUGCGGAAGGAUCAUUAUCGAAAUACUUAUUUAGCGUUCCGUGCUAUCCCAUUGUUUUAUUUACCCUGUUGCUUCCACUGGAUGAGUUUCCAUACCUUGUGUUUGAGAAACUUUGGCUUGUGUAAGAUUCAUUCACGGCCAGCCAGUGAGAAGACCAUUUACAAAACCCUGUUAAGAACCAAUUGUCUGAAUAUUUUACUCCAAUGAAAUAAAACUUUCAACAACGGAUCUCUAGGCUCUU
Molecule: unclassified non-coding RNA, 278 nt
Filed under: plant metagenome
Description: partial contains small subunit ribosomal RNA and internal transcribed spacer 1
Rfam family: Eukaryotic small subunit ribosomal RNA (bases 1-54)
Source: RNAcentral